GGGCGCUUAGCUCAGCUGGUUAGAGCAAUUGACUUACAUUCAAUAGGUCAGGGGUUCAAGUCCUCUAGCGCCCA
Molecule: transfer RNA, 74 nt
Filed under: bacterium
Lineage: Bacteria
Description: tRNA-Val
Rfam family: tRNA
About the family: Transfer RNA (tRNA) molecules are approximately 80 nucleotides in length. Their secondary structure includes four short double-helical elements and three loops (D, anti-codon, and T loops).
Source: RNAcentral